This 808-nucleotide long non-coding RNA is filed under the name Salmo salar (Atlantic salmon). Its description in RNAcentral is "lncRNA (ENSSSAG00000120637.1)". The record is from RNAcentral. Lineage: Eukaryota; Metazoa; Chordata; Actinopteri; Salmoniformes; Salmonidae.
CUGGUUAAAUAAAAUAAAUAAAAAAAAUCGCUAGUCUCUUUGUUUAGAAAUUGUUUACAAAGCUUUAUGGGAUAUUAGAAAUCCUCCUAACCUGGGUAUCUUCAACCUAGCAUAUUAUUGCUUCGAUGUCACAACAUACAGCUUUGGGGGUGUUUCAGCAACAGUGCAAAGUUCUACAUUACAGUUCUACAGUACACUAUGACAUCACCCAAAGGCCUGUAGAAUGUUAAAUAUCAUAUCUAAAUAUGAUGGAACGGUGCUUUCACUUAAGCCUCUGAAUCACGUCAGCAUUCUCAUUGUAGCAACUUGUUUUUGAAUCCUCCAUGCAGGCUAAAAAGUACGGUUUAAUUUGAUAAAUUAUUAGAGUUUGUUAUUAUAAUACUUAUUGAUUGCAAUAUGAUUUGGCUGUAGUGAGAUUGUCCAUGCAUUGAUUUACAGGGCUUUAGGGAAUAUAAGGCUUUCCUCCAGCCAGUGAGCAAGGAUGAGAUUAUUGCUCCAAAGGCCCCUGAGAUCUAUCAGAAAGCAAAAGUCCUGGAUUCCAAAGAGAUCUGGAACAUUCUAAGGGACGAGUCGGAGUCCAAACUGGCUUGGACAGAGACAGCCAUUGACGUGCCCUCCGUGAUCAAGGUUUCCCUGAUACAACACACAGAACACAUCCUGUCACAAUGUCACACACCGUUACCAACCAUGACCUGUGUCAUCUUUAUAAGACAUUCAACCAAUGCAAACUCUGUUGUCUAGAAAAACAGUCAUAAACCAACAUGUAGAUUUCUAGAUACUUCCUUAGAUUAGAUUUGCACUCUUUCUU